This 72-nucleotide transfer RNA is filed under the name archaeon. RNAcentral describes it as "tRNA-Gly". It matches the Rfam family "tRNA". Rfam says of the family: Transfer RNA (tRNA) molecules are approximately 80 nucleotides in length. The record is from RNAcentral.
GCGCGAGUGGUUUAGUGGUUAUAAUCUGGCCUUGCCAAGGCUGGGACCCGGGUUCGAUUCCCGGCUUGCGCA